Molecule: ribosomal RNA, 630 nt
Filed under: uncultured eukaryote
Lineage: Eukaryota
Description: SSU rRNA
Rfam family: Eukaryotic small subunit ribosomal RNA
Source: RNAcentral
UUGUUGCAGUUAAAAAGCUCGUAGUUGGACCUUGGGCAGGAGGCACGGGUUGGCCGAAUGGCUCGACUCGGGUCUCCGGCCUCUAUGGGUGGUCGUGCCUUUGGUACGGUUCGCCCGGGUUACUGUGAAGAAAUUAGAGUGUUUAAAGCAGGCGAUUGCUUGGAUACAUCAGCAUGGAAUAACAAGAUAGGACCUGGUUCCACUUGUUGGUUUGGGGGCUUUGGUAAUGAUUAAUAGGGCCAGUUGGGGGCAUUAGUAUUCAGUAGUCAGAGGUGAAAUUCUUGGAUUUACUGAAGACUAACUAGUGCGAAAGCAUUUGCCAAGGAUGUUUUCAUUAAUCAAGAACGAAAGUUAGGGGAUCGAAGACGAUCAGAUACCGUCGUAGUCUUAACUAUAAACGAUGCCGACUCGGGAUCGGCAGACGUCGUUAGCGACACUGUCGGCACCGUGUGAGAAAUCAAAGUUUUUGGGUUCUGGGGGGAGUAUGGUCGCAAGGCUGAAACUUAAAGGAAUUGACGGAAGGGCACCACCAGGAGUGGAGCCUGCGGCUUAAUUUGACUCAACACGGGAAAACUCACCAGGUCGGGACAUAGUAAGGGAUUGACAGAUUGAGAGCUCUUUCUUUGAUUC